UUACCUUUUUAACGGGCUUGUGAGUGGGCACCGCGCUGAAGGCGGACGACAGCUCUUCCAUGUUCAUUUCAGUGUUCUUGCUCACCGUCAAGGCGGAAUAUUUCUCUGCGACAUUUUCGCUUUCUUUCACCUCUUUGCUCGCCUGCUUUGCCUCUCCGGUGGACUCCGACAUGUUGACCGAGACUGUCCGUUCUUUACCGGGCAACCAAAAAUUAAAAGGAGAGUCGAUCUUCCGUCGACGUCGCACUUCUGUUGUCUUCUUGUGACUUGUGCGUGCUGGUCAACGUCACAAACUCGUGUCAUCGAUGUCCUCGCGCCGGAAGCGGGAAAUUAAAGUCUUUUUUUGCUGAUUAUGGACAAAAAGAAUUCCUUUAGAAUUGUUGCUGUGGAAUGAUGCUGAGUUAUCUUGAAAGUGGUGGUGUCGUUCGUCAACUGUCACCUGGCUGGGUGAGAUUGUAGGCGGCAACCAAGCUUGGGGGCGUGUCCACAGCGUGUUGCGUUCACGGAAAGUCACAGACCCACCAUCCCCCCUCACCCUGAUUGACUCUCCCACCCCCGUCUCCAUUGUGGACUCCUUCAGUUUCUUGGGCACCACCAUCACCCAAGACCUCAAGUGGGAGCCGACCAUCAGCUCCCUCAUCAAGAAGGCCCAGCAGAGGAUGUACUUCCUGCGCCAGCUGAGGAAAGUUAAGCGGCAAAGUCCAGGAUAAGCAUCGACUGCGCGCAUCGUACGUGCUGCUGAGAAGGUGAUUGGCUGCAAGCUCCCGUCCCUCCAGGACCUGUUCUCCUCCAGGACCAGGAGGCCUGUGGGUCGGAUCACAGCUGACUCUUCUCACCCCCAACACAAACUAUUUUCCCCUCUCCCCUCAUGCAGGAAACUAUGGUCCAUUCAGACCCACACCUCCCGCCACCUGAACAGUUUUUUCCCCUGCGCCAUCAGACACAUGAACAAUAACUGUUACUUUUAGACCUCCACCCCAGAUCACACCUCACUCCAACCCACUUCUCCAAAGUGGGCUGGCUCAGGGUGGAGGACAGAGUAAAACAACUUGCACUGAGCCUAGUCUAUAAAGUCUGCUACACCUCCCUGAUACCGAAGUACAUGUAAAACUACUUUAAACCCAGAUUCCGAUUUAACAAACGUCUUAACUCAUUCUCUUUCUAUGCUACAUCAAUGUGGAAUGCACUCCCAACAGGUGUAAAAGUAAGUGCAUCUCUAUAUUCCUUCAAAACCGUUUUAAAACAACACCUCCAGGCAACAUCAACCCUUUACUAAUACCCUCCUCCAUUCACAUCCCAUCUCCCCGGAUUGUAAAUAACCUAAUGUAAAUAAUCAAAUGUACUUCUAAUAUAUUUACUUGUUCUUAUGCUAUCUGAACUCACUAUGUUCUCUGCUCGCUGUACAUAUUCUACCAAGUAAGACCUACACUGUUUCAAUGUCCAUUUCUCUGUUGAUGCAAUUGUUGAUGACUGAAGUACUGAUAUCAACCAAAGCUCAUCAUCUCACCCCCAGAUUGUAAAUAAUGUAAAUAAUUCAAUGUAUAUACUAUGAUGAUUAACCUGUAUGAUGACUGUAUUAUGCCUCAUAUAUAACCUCAUAUAUGCCUUUUUCAUACAGUACAUCCAUUUCUUGUUAAAGAAAAAACGUAUUGUUGUUGGUACAUAAAUAAAAUCAUUUUAAAUAGAGUCAGUCAACCUGAAGAAAGCAGCAUGAUUAUUUUCGUAAAGGCAGUAUUUUGGAUUGCAUGUCAUUAGAUUGUGCAAGUGUACCGAAUGGCCAUUAGGUGUUUUAAGAUCGCAAUCUGUGAUGGUGGAAAUGUCUGGAAAUGACGUUUCAAUGUCCAUUUCUCUGUUGAUGCAAUUGUUGAUGACUGAAGUACUGAUAUCAACCAAAGCUCAUCAUCCUACCCCCCGAAUUGUAAAUAAUGUAAAUAAUUCAAUGUAUAUACUAUGAUGAUUAACCUGUGUGAUGACUGUAUAAUGCAGAUAGUAUAUAUUUGUACCAUGAAUCGAUUAAC
Long non-coding RNA from Nerophis ophidion (straightnose pipefish), 2018 nucleotides. RefSeq lists it as uncharacterized. The record is from RefSeq and is a predicted model, not a curated record. The transcript is spliced from 3 exons. Lineage: Eukaryota; Metazoa; Chordata; Actinopteri; Syngnathiformes; Syngnathidae.